UACGUAGGUGGCGAGCGUUGUCCGGAUUUACUGGGCGUAAAGAGCACGUAGGCGGCGUGGCAAGUCUUGCGUGAAAGGUUCUGGCUCAACUGGAACAGGGCGCGGGAAACUGCCAGGCUUGAGGGCAGCAGAGGGCGGUGGAAUUCCCGGUGGAGUGGUGAAAUGCGUAGAUAUCGGGAGGAACACCAGUGGCGAAGGCGGCCGCCUGGGCUGUCCCUGACGCUGAGGUGCGAAAGCGUGGGGAGCGAACCGG
This 253-nucleotide ribosomal RNA is filed under the name uncultured bacterium. Its description in RNAcentral is "partial 16S ribosomal RNA". It matches the Rfam family "Bacterial small subunit ribosomal RNA", at positions 524 to 776 of the family's 1533-position model. The record is from RNAcentral.